UACAGAGGGUGCAAGCGUUGUUCGGAAUUAUUGGGCGUAAAGGGUGCGUAGGUGGUAAGGCAAGUCAGGUGUGAAAUCUCCGGGCUCAACCCGGAAAUGGCAUUCGAAACUACCUUGCUAGAGGGUUUGAGGGGGGACUGGAAUACUUGGUGUAGCAGUGAAAUGCGUAGAUAUCAAGUGGAACACCAGUGGCGAAGGCGAGUCCCUGGAAAACUCCUGACACUGAGGCACGAAAGCUAGGGGAGCAAACAGG
Molecule: ribosomal RNA, 253 nt
Filed under: uncultured bacterium
Lineage: Bacteria
Description: partial 16S ribosomal RNA
Rfam family: Bacterial small subunit ribosomal RNA
Source: RNAcentral